UGUGGGGUGCCAUCACUGGAAGUCUCAAAACAUAGGUCCACAGGUAAUCUGGCUUCACGCCCAAACAUGAGAAAAUAGGGAGAAAAUCCUGUAGCUUCAUUUGGAGUGCAAUUGUAAGCGUGGACCAAAUGUACAAUGUGCUGACUCCAUCUUUUCUUUCUGUUUGGCUCCAGAGUCCCCAACAUGUCCAACAAUGUCCUAUUAAACCUCUCAGGUUGGGGGUCUCCUUGAGGAUGAUAGGGCGUUGUUCUGGAUUUCUCAACUCCGAGUGAACUCAAUACUUCAUGGACAAGGCGACUUUCAAAAUCUCUCCCCUGAUCACUGUGCAUCCUCUUGGGCAAUCCAUAGUGGACAAAAUACUUCUCCAGUAACACUUUUGCCACGGUAGAGGCUUUCUGGUCCUUGGUUGGAAAGGCCUGAGCGUAGCGGGUGUAGUGAUCAGUAAUGACUAGGACAUUUUCUGUGUUGUUUGAAUCUGGUUCAAUGGACAGAAAGUCCAUACAAACAAGGUCCAGUGGGCCAUCACUUUGCAAAUGAGACAAUGGUGCAACUCUCUUGGGUAAAGUCUUUCUUUGUAUACACCUCACACAUGACUUACAAUAAUCUUCAAUCUCUGACAUCAUCCGAGGCCAGUAGAAACGAUCUUUGAUCAGACCAUAUGUCUUGUCGAGGCCCAGGUGACCUGAGUCAUCAUGCAGUGAUUUCAUUACUGUGUUUCUGUACUAUUCUGGUAGUACCAACUGAGAGCAACAGGGUUUUCCUGGUGGACUUAUAAUGCGAUACAUUACUCCUUUCUGCAUCUUUAACCUAUCCCACUCUCUCAACAGCAAAGAGCAAGCUCUGUGUUUCGUCCUAUCAACUUGGGUGAUAUUGCCCUUGGUCAGAGCUGACCACACUUGUCCUAUGCCAGGGUCUUCCUGCUGAGCGGUUGACAACUCGGUGAGACUCACAAAAGGCAUAUUUUUGACACUCAAAGAAGCAAGAUUGAAAUAGGGUUGUGGGAUAGCUUGUGGGGAAAUCCCCAGGAGAUCAAUGGCUCUUCCAGACUGUAGGUUUUUCUGUGUUGUCAAUGCAGACAUCUGACACAUGGCUCUCACACCUGUUGCAGGGAUGUCUUUCCACUCUGAUUCUUGUAUUGGACUGGGGUGUGGGCGACGAGAGAGAGCAUCAGCAUCAAUGUUCUGGACUCCUGAUCUGUAUUUGAGACUGAAGUUAUAUGUAGACAAGGCAGCAAGCCAACGGUGACCCGUCGCAUCCAGCUUAGCUGAUGUCAACACAUAGGUCAAUGGGUUAUUGUCCGUCCUCACCUCAAACAUGAUCCCGUACAGAUAGUCAUGCAGUUUAUCUACCACUGCCCACUUCAGUGCCAAAAACUCUAGUUUAUGGGCAGGGUAAUUCUUUUCUGAAGGAGUCAAGCUUCGACUGACAAAAGCCACAGGUAUCAAUCCUUCACCCUGAUCCUGGUACACUCCUCCUAGCCUUUCACGGCUAGCGUCUACGUGCAGCACAUAGGUAGCUGAGGGUUUGCAAAAGCUAACACGGGAGCUUGAGUGAGCCGUUGCUUCAGCUCCUCAAAGGCUGCUUCACAUUUGUCAUCCCACCGACUACCAAAAGGCUCUGAGGGGUUUAGGUAAGUGUUCUCUUGCUUCCCUCUGGAUUUCUUUGCAGCUGGUGGGUAACCGGACAACAGUUGGUUCAACGGGUGAGCUACCUUCGAAUAAUCCUUCAUGAAGCGCCUGUAGUACCCACAGAAUCCAAGAAAUGACCGCAAAGCAGUCACAGUGUUUGGUCUGGGCCAUGUGGUCACAGCUUCAGUCUUCUUUGGGUCAGUAGAUACCCCAUCUUGGGAUAUGAUGUGUCCCACAUAGGUUACGGAGGGCUGACAAAACUGGCAUUUAUCCAGUGAUAACUUCAGUCCUUCAUCUCUCAAACGGUCAAGCACCUUUAACAACCUGGUCUCAUGCUCCUAAAGCGUUGCCCCAAACACAGUGAGAUCGAGAUAAACCAAGACUUCGAGCAGAUUCAUGUCUCCGACAGUCUGUUCCAUUAUCCACUGAAAUGUAGCGGGAGCCCCUUUCACUCCUUGUGGCAUUCUUUCAAAUUGGAAGAAUCCAGCCGGGCAGAUGAAUGCUGUCUUCUCUUUAUCAGAAUCACUCAUAGGCAUUUGAUAGUAGCCACUGCAAAGGUCAAGCACACUAAACCACUUACUUCCACUGAGACAGGCCAAAGCAUCUUCAAUUCUUGGCACUGUGUAUUGAUCUGGGACAGUGCGACGGUUUAGAGUCCUGAAAUCCACACACAUCCUUAUUUUCCCGUUCUUCUUCCUCACAACCACAAUGGGUGAGGUGUAAGGACUGCGUGACUCGGUGAUAACAACAGCGGUUUUCAGCUGCGACAGAUGUUGUCUCAAUGCCUCCACAUCUGCAGGUGGCAGCCGACGAGACCUCUCACGAAACGGUUUGUCAUCUGUGGUUUUGAUAGUGUGCUGGGUGCUUUUACUGCAUCCUACAUCAAACUCAUGCAGAGUGAAAACCUCAUUCCGUUCCAUCAUUUUUGUCACCAAUCUUUCUUUCCACUCCUUAGGGACUGGUGAGUCUCCAAAGUUGAAAGAGGAGGGGGUCAACUUUCCAGAUGACUCAACAUCAGACUCUUUCUUUUCAGGAGGUGAUGACACGACGUCGACUGGAAACAGGUGGGCUAUCGGCAUUCCUCUGGUCAAGGUAAUUUCUCGUGCUGACAUGUUUCUGACUAGAACUGUGAUUCUCUUAGCCAUCACACCAGUAGAUGCCUGUAACUCUGGUCUCACCAGGAGUCCAUCUGGAAACCGUGAUUCAUUUCCAGGGUCAUCAGUGACUAAGCAGCCGUCUCACAGUGGGUGUGUUUGUGCCAACAAGCAUGGAAGCUUCACCUCUCUCAGUGGGGUCGGGACAUACCAACACAAGUGCAUCAAUGGUCUCACGCACUCCUACAUCAGCUUCCAAAAACUCCAGCCUAAGUGACAAAUAGCCAUCAUAAGGGUACUCAUCAGAGCUGAGACCCCAUAUCUGCAGAGUGCUGAUAGGUGUCAAUGGCAGGUGUGUCAAAUAUCUGUCGUAGAAGGAUCUGUACUACAAAGUUACUUGAGAACCAGAAUCGAGUAUAGCUUUAGAGUAGAUGCCUUCAAUCUGUACGGACACGACAGAGCUAGGGCCCACUAAGCCUUCAGGUAUAGUGUCAUUCACUUUUCUUUCUGAGCCACUGCACUUGGUGGAACGUGUUGUGACCACCGGGAUGCCAGGCCGUUCCUCUACUGGACCCCGCGGUAGUUUCCCGAUUUCUUUGUCAGUUUAAUGAGGCGCUUAUUGACUUUGAGUAGGUUUUCUUCACCUUCACAUUCUCUCUUAAAAUGUCCAUCCUCCCCAUAUCUAUAGCAAAAUAUCCCAGGUUUGUCCUCUUGAUAUCCAGACCUUUGUGGGGUAGCAUUUUUUUUUGUAUGUGGUCUUGACAGGGAUUUCAAGUUGUGGACUCUGAGCGUCUGGGUGUGAUGAAACUGUAGCAGCUUUAAGACUAAUCAUUUCAGCUUUCAUGACACUGAUCUCUUUUUUCAGCAUUGCUACUUCAGUAUCAACUUCUAUUUCAGGUGCAGGCUUGGGAACAGGAGUGACAGACUGUGACAUUACUGGGUUCUUGGCAUCAUUCCUGCUUUGGAGCAUAUCUUCCUCCUCUCUCACCUCUCUUAGCAGCUCAUUGAAAGAAGGGGGUUCUCGUAGCUUAUGUGUCAUACGAAGGCGAAGAGCAAUCAUGUCUUGUUGCAGUGCUCCUCUCACAACCUGCUCCAUUCGUAAUCGAUUCAUGUCAGGCAGUGCCACGCCUCCUUUCCUGAUAAGACAGUGCAGCAGUUUAUCCAACCUCAACAGGAGCAUGGAGCACAUGAGCAGGCCAUGGACCAGCCUCCCCAGGUCUGAAAAACAUUCAUUGGACAUAUGGCAUGCGGCAAAAAAUUUAACCAAGAAACUUCAUGCGGCUGGGAUUGUAAAGGGUCAUUCCAUCAUACGUGUGUGGCUUAGGGACAUCGUCAACCAAUUUUGGUAUAUUUGCCAGAAAGCCGAACAUUGUGAUAUGUUCAAUUUGUAGGAUAUGUGGGUGGGGGUGCUUUAUCAUGUCACGGGGAAGCAUGAAUGGACCCAUGGCAAAUGUGACUAUGGACCACUUGAUGAGGCGACCCAUGUGAAAGAGCUCAUCGUGCCAGGCUCUGCACCACAUGAGGGUGUUCAACAGACGGUGGUUGAAGGAUGUUGCAAAGUAUCUGACCUUUCGGUAAAUUAAUAACAUUGUCUUGUCUGUCAGAAUAUCUUUUCCAUUCUUUCCAUUAGCAGAACAUCUAUAGUAUCAAUACGAAACCUGACACAUUACAAGGUGGUUAAACUCAUUUUCCUCUAUUCAGACACAGAUUCAUAGAGGACAGGUAUGUCAUUCACCUACAUCCCACAUUCAUGUCUGAUCAAUUUCAAAUAAAGUUUGUUAUUGUUUUGCAGGUCAAGUCAAAACAUACCUCUUUGAAAUAAUAACAUUUUUAAAGAAAGGCCUCAGCUACAUGAUCCAGAAAAUGAGCAAGAAAAGAGGGACGACAAGACCAUCUUGUUUACGACUCAUUUAUUUUAUUAUAAACAUGUAGAAACAGGAGAAAAUAUCAGUCAGGCACCCUAAAUGGAGCUUCUAACCUUUGUAGUUUGCAAAAGGGUCAGGGAAUUUUGCCUGGAUAUGAAGAACACAGCAGCUCAGUAUCGGCCUCCUGCUCCCUCUUCCCAGAUGCCCAUUCUGCCAGAUCGUAAAUUGCUGGUAGGCAGCAAACUGAAACUCUUGGUUAUCGCUGCCCACAUCUUGGCUGUUCUCCAGAGCAAAGAUGUCGUUUCACGUCAUCCUAACCAGACAUGUACCCUCAUCCAGGCAGUACAUCUCCAGGUGGGCACUCCUGCUCAGACACUGGUCCAGAGCCUGCCAACAGCACAAGUUCUCCAUUUGGGUUGACAUGAGUCGGCAGUUCAGGCAGGUGCACCACGCAGGCUGCCCUCUGUCUGGAAGAUGUGGUCCUGGUGCUUGUGACCGGAACUCCAGGAUGUCGAGCAGCACCCCUGGUUGGCAGGUCCCCACUGACUGGAGAACAACAUCCCUCUCCUCCUGGCUCAGAUGUUGUAAAGCCAUCUAGAAACUGAUCAAGAAAAUAUGUUUACAUGGCUAGAGUCAUAUUUCAAAUCUGUGUGUUCUUUCACUCAUUCAUUCCGAUAACAAGAUUUUUUUUUAACCAAAUUGCUAUAACCAACCUACAUCUCAGCUAUACUAGUAGCUCUAAGCUCUAUACUAGUAGCUCUCCUCCCUGAGAGCUCCAGUGCACUGCCUGCCCCGGUGUUCUGGAAGGAGCUCUGGACCACGACCUGCUACCUUCCCCCCUUGACCGUGUCCUUCUUCGACCUUCAGACUGACCUCUUCCAUUCCCUUUUCCUCUACCGCCUUUGCCUUUACCCCCUGGUCUUGCACUUUCCCAUGACUCAUCAGAGUCGGGGUCAGGCUGAGGCACAGACUCCUCCUCUGAAGUGUCCUACACGUGUGCCACUCCUUCCAGAGUCAAUUCCAAAUCCUGAAAUAAAAACAUUGAGAACAAUACUAAUAAGAAUAACGUUAGUAAUCAUCACAGGGAUGUUGUGAUUUUAUUUGAUGUUAUGUUUAUUCUGAUUCAACUUGGUAUAAUACCAGUUAUAACAUAUUGACAUUUCUGUUUUACUUGUAUUUACUUUGUUAUGGUGCAGUGCUAUUCAUAUCAUUUAUAUUGUCUUACAAUGGAAAUGGUUUCACAAACGAUCUCUGUGGCACUGGCACAUAACACUUGGCGUGAGACAAUGAAUCAUACAAUUACUGUUACAUGAUAAUGACUGCAUACUUACGUCAGCUUGUUAGCAAGCUAAAUAUUAGCUAUGUUGGUAAUUACCACAGUCAGAAAUAAGCCAAAUGCUUGUCAAACAACAUAACAUUGGUGGCAGUCACAUUAGCUUAAGUCACAAAACAAUGGUUAUCGCUAGCUCGUUAUUCACUGUGGCUGGGGAAAUUUGAACUUUAGUAACCAUUUGGCCAGUGUAAGGUGAACAUACUUUAUAUUACAACAGUCAUUUUGUUGAAUUAAUGCACUAAUUGUCAAAGAAAUAUACUAAAGUUGCACUAAAAUGAACA
This is a long non-coding RNA of Acanthopagrus latus (yellowfin seabream), 6201 nucleotides long. RefSeq lists it as uncharacterized. Lineage: Eukaryota; Metazoa; Chordata; Actinopteri; Spariformes; Sparidae. The record is from RefSeq and is a predicted model, not a curated record. The transcript has 7 exons.